This 499-nucleotide ribosomal RNA is filed under the name uncultured bacterium. RNAcentral describes it as "partial 16S ribosomal RNA". It matches the Rfam family "Bacterial small subunit ribosomal RNA", at positions 28 to 507 of the family's 1533-position model. The record is from RNAcentral.
GACGAACGCUGGCGGCGUGCCUAAUACAUGCAAGUCGAGCGGACUUUCAAGAAGCUUGCUUUUUGAAAGUUAGCGGCGGACGGGUGAGUAACACGUGGGCAACCUGCCUGCAAGACGGGGAUAACUCCGGGAAACCGGGGCUAAUACCGGAUAAUAUCUUCCUUCGCAUGAAGGAAGGUUGAAAGGCGGCGCAAGCUGCCGCUUGCAGAUGGGCCCGCGGCGCAUUAGCUAGUUGGUGAGGUAACGGCUCACCAAGGCGACGAUGCGUAGCCGACCUGAGAGGGGGAUCGGCCAAACUGGGACUGAGACACGGCCCAGACUCCUACGGGAGGCAGCAGUAGGGAAUCUUCCGCAAUGGACGAAAGUCUGACGGAGCAACGCCGCGUGAGCGAAGAAGGUCUUCGGAUCGUAAAGCUCGGUUGUCAGGGAAGAACAAGUACCGUUCGAACAGGGCGGUACCUUGACGGUACCUGACCAGAAAGCCACGGCUAACUACGUG